Molecule: ribosomal RNA, 490 nt
Filed under: uncultured bacterium
Lineage: Bacteria
Description: partial 16S ribosomal RNA
Rfam family: Bacterial small subunit ribosomal RNA
Source: RNAcentral
AUUGAACGCUGGCGGCAGGCCUAACACAUGCAAGUCGAACGGUAACAGGAAGCAGCUUGCUGCUUUGCUGCCGAGUGGCGGACGGGUGAGUAAUGUCUGGGAAACUGCCUGAUGGAGGGGGAUAACUACUGGAAACGUUAGCUAAUACCGCAUAACGUCGCAAGACCAAAGAGGGGGACCUUCGGGCCUCUUGCCAUCGGAUGUGCCCAGAUGGGAUUAGCUAGUAGGUGGGGUAACGGCUCACCUAGGCGACGAUCCCUAGCUGGUCUGAGAGGAUGACCAGCCACACUGGAACUGAGACACGGUCCAGACUCCUACGGGAGGCAGCAGUGGGGAAUAUUGCACAAUGGGCUCAAGCCUGAUGCAGCCAUGCCGCGUGUAUGAAGAAGGCCUUCGGGUUGUAAAGUACUUUCAGCGGGGAGGAAGGGAGUAAAGUUAAUACCUUUGCUCAUUGACGUUACCCGCAGAAGAAGCACCGGCUAACUCCGUG